This 926-nucleotide ribosomal RNA is filed under the name uncultured bacterium. RNAcentral's name for it is "bacterial SSU rRNA". It matches the Rfam family "Bacterial small subunit ribosomal RNA", at positions 33 to 949 of the family's 1533-position model. The record is from RNAcentral.
ACGCUGGCGGCGUGCUUAACACAUGCAAGUCGAACGAAAAUACCAAGCUUGCUUGGUUGAUUAGUGGCGAACGGGUGAGUAACACGUGAGUAACCUGCCCCUUACUUUCCUGGAUAACUGCUCGAAAGGGUAGCUAAUACGGGAUAUUCUGGCCUUCCUGCAUGGGUUGGUUUGGAAAGGUUGUUUUUCUGGUAAGGGAUGGGCUCGCGGCCUAUCAGCUUGUUGGUGGGGUGAUGGCCUACCAAGGCUUUGACGGGUAGCCGGCCUGAGAGGGUGGACGGUCACACUGGGACUGAGAUACGGCCCAGACUCCUACGGGAGGCAGCAGUGGGGAAUAUUGCACAAUGGGCGCAAGCCUGAUGCAGCGACGCCGCGUGAGGGAUGAAGGCCUUCGGGUUGUAAACCUCUUUCGUCAGGGAACAAGGCACUGCUUUUGGUGGUGUUGAGGGUACCUGGAUAAGAAGCGCCGGCUAACUACGUGCCAGCAGCCGCGGUAAUACGUAGGGCGCAAGCGUUGUCCGGAAUUAUUGGGCGUAAAGAGCUCGUAGGCGGCUGGUCGCGUCUGUCGUGAAAACUUCCGGCUCAACCGGGGGCUUGCGGUGGGUACGGGCCGGCUAGAGUGCGGUAGGGGUAACUGGAACUCCUGGUGUAGCGGUGGAAUGCGCAGAUAUCAGGAAGAACACCGAUGGCGAAGGCAGGUUACUGGGCCGUUACUGACGCUGAGGAGCGAAAGCGUGGGGAGCGAACAGGAUUAGAUACCCUGGUAGUCCACGCCGUAAACGUUGGGCACUAGGUGUGAGGCUCCUUUCCGGGGGUUUUGCGCCGUAGCUAACGCAUUAAGUGCCCCGCCUGGGGAGUACGGCCGCAAGGCUAAAACUCAAAGGAAUUGACGGGGGCCCGCACAAGCGGCGGAGCAUGCGGAUUAA